Chiroxiphia lanceolata (lance-tailed manakin) is the source of this 899-nucleotide long non-coding RNA. RefSeq lists it as uncharacterized. The record is from RefSeq and is a predicted model, not a curated record. The transcript has 2 exons. Lineage: Eukaryota; Metazoa; Chordata; Aves; Passeriformes; Pipridae.
GGAGGCAACACAAGCACCACUGAACAAACAAGUACCUGUGUACACUGCUGUGCUCACCUGAGCCUCACACAGGUGAGGGGACGCUGCCCUCACCCUCUCUUGUUCGUUCUGCAGAUCGAACACCUCUAACACGCUCUUGCUGCCUGAGAGUGGAGGAUGGACACCCAAAAGAAGCAACACGAUUUUUUGUGCAAGACACCUUGAAGACACUGAGAAGCCUCAGACUCUUGAAAUGGAGGAAAUAACGGUGGAAACAAUCCUGGCCCCGUGGCAAAUCCUGCUGGUGAUCCUCGCCGCAGUGCUGACCAUGAGUCUCCUCAUGCUCCUGCCCCCCGCAGCCGUGGUGCUCUGGAGGAUGAAGCGUGUGCCGCAGAUCUCCCUGCAGGGCUCGGUGUGAGCCAGCCCUGCAAACUGCUGCCACACCACCCAUCCCUGCAGAGGAUGGUUCGGAAGGAUCACAUCUCUCAGGAUCACUCUUUCUGCCUAAGAUCCACCCAAAAGCAGCGGGUUACCAGUCUAUUGCUGCUUAGUUCCUGUGAGUAGAGGAUGUGUGUAAUUUUGUCGUCGUGAACUACAGUUCUGAGCACUUUGCCUUUCAUUUUUUGGCUAAUUUUAAUUACUGUUAUUGGCUCAGUUCUUAGACUGAGUUCUCCUCUUGUGUUAUAAUGGCCUGAAAGAGAAGAAGCAUAACGCAGCAUUGUAUUUCCUUAAUUAAUAUCAGGAAAGCCUCCCUGUUUAUAGUUACACUGUAAAUAUUACCAAAGCCUUCUAGCUGAGAUGAGUGACAGUUAUGCAAGUGAACUUAUCAAAAGCAUGCAGGAUACUCUAGGGAGGUAGUACUUUAGUCUGGUUGUAUUGCAGAACCUAAAAAAUAAAUAAUCAGAGAAUGGUGCAAUAAA